This 21-nucleotide microRNA is filed under the name Homo sapiens (human). RNAcentral's name for it is "hsa-miR-6718-5p". Lineage: Eukaryota; Metazoa; Chordata; Mammalia; Primates; Hominidae. The record is from miRBase by way of RNAcentral.
UAGUGGUCAGAGGGCUUAUGA